AUUAUGGAGAGUUUGAUCCUGGCUCAGGACGAACGCUGGCGGCGUGCCUAAUACAUGCAAGUCGAGCGGA
This 70-nucleotide non-coding RNA is filed under the name Paenisporosarcina sp. RNAcentral's name for it is "partial 16S ribosomal RNA". It matches the Rfam family "Bacterial small subunit ribosomal RNA", at positions 1 to 70 of the family's 1533-position model. RNAcentral also lists the same sequence under 2 other names. The record is from RNAcentral. Lineage: Bacteria; Bacillati; Bacillota; Bacilli; Caryophanales; Caryophanaceae.